RNAcentral lists this ribosomal RNA (447 nucleotides) under uncultured bacterium. RNAcentral describes it as "bacterial SSU rRNA". It matches the Rfam family "Bacterial small subunit ribosomal RNA", at positions 355 to 825 of the family's 1533-position model. The record is from RNAcentral.
UGGGGAAUAUUGGACAAUGGGCGCAAGCCUGAUCCAGCCAUGCCGCGUGAGUGACGAAGGCCUUAGGGUUGUAAAGCUCUUUUGGCGGGGAAGAUAAUGACGGUACCCGCAGAAUAAGCUCCGGCUAACUUCGUGCCAGCAGCCGCGGUAAUACGAAGGGAGCUAGCGUUGUUCGGAAUCACUGGGCGUAAAGCGCACGUAGGUGGGCAGUUAAGUCAGGGGUGAAAGCCCGAGGCUCAACCUCGGAAUUGCCUCUGAUACUGGCUGUCUAGAGUGCAGAAGGGGCAAUCGGAAUUCUUGGUGUAGCGGUGAAAUGCGUAGAUAUCAAGAGGAACACCUGAGGUGAAGACGGGUUGCUGGGCUGACACUGACGCUGAGGCGCGAAAGCCAGGGGAGCAAACGGGAUUAGAUACCCCCGUAGUCCCUGAGCGGGCUGGCAAGGCGCAU